Molecule: ribosomal RNA, 402 nt
Filed under: uncultured Rhodoplanes sp.
Lineage: Bacteria; Pseudomonadati; Pseudomonadota; Alphaproteobacteria; Hyphomicrobiales; Nitrobacteraceae
Description: bacterial SSU rRNA
Rfam family: Bacterial small subunit ribosomal RNA
Source: RNAcentral
UGGGGAAUAUUGGACAAUGGGCGAAAGCCUGAUCCAGCCAUGCCGCGUGAGUGAUGAAGGCCUUAGGGUUGUAAAGCUCUUUUAGCAGGGAAGAUAAUGACGGUACCUGCAGAAAAAGCCCCGGCUAACUUCGUGCCAGCAGCCGCGGUAAUACGAAGGGGGCUAGCGUUGCUCGGAAUUACUGGGCGUAAAGCGCACGUAGGCGGACUCUUAAGUCGGUGGUGAAAUCCUGGAGCUCAACUCCAGAACUGCCUUCGAAACUGGGAGCCUUGAGUUCGGGAGAGGUGAGUGGAACUGCGAGUGUAGAGGUGAAAUUCGUAGAUAUUCGCAAGAACACCAGUGGCGAAGGCGGCUCACUGGCCCGAUACUGACGCUGAGGUGCGAAAGCGUGGGGAGCAAACA